GAUGAACGCUGGCGGCGUGCCUAAUACAUGCAAGUCGAGCGAACAGGCGAGGAGCUUGCUCCUCUGACGUUAGCGGCGGACGGGUGAGUAACACGUGGAUAACCUACCUAUAAGACUGGGAUAACUUCGGGAAACCGGAGCUAAUACCGGAUAAUAUUUUGAACCGGAUGGUUCAAUAGUGAAAGACGGUUUUGCUGUCACUUAUAGAUUGAUCCGCGCCGCAUUAGCUAGUUGGUAAGGUAACGGCUUACCAAGGCAACGAUCCGUAGCCGACCUGAGAGGAUGAUCAGACACACAGGGACUGAGACACGGUCCAGACUCCUACGGGAGGCAGCAGUGGGGAAUCUUCCACAAUGGGCGCAAGCCCGACGGAGCAACGCCGCGUGAGUGAUGAAGGUCUUCGGAUCGUAAAACUCUUUUAUUAGGGAAGAACAAAUGUGUAAGUAACUAUGCACGUCUUGACGGUACCUAAUCAGAAAGCCACGGCUAACUACGUG
RNAcentral lists this ribosomal RNA (497 nucleotides) under uncultured bacterium. RNAcentral's name for it is "partial 16S ribosomal RNA". It matches the Rfam family "Bacterial small subunit ribosomal RNA", at positions 28 to 507 of the family's 1533-position model. The record is from RNAcentral.